RNAcentral lists this ribosomal RNA (734 nucleotides) under uncultured bacterium. RNAcentral describes it as "bacterial SSU rRNA". It matches the Rfam family "Bacterial small subunit ribosomal RNA", at positions 9 to 741 of the family's 1533-position model. The record is from RNAcentral.
GAGUUUGAUCCUGGCUCAGGAUGAACGCUGGCGGCGUGCCUAACACAUGCAAGUCGAACGAAGCAUUUAAACCUGAUUAUUUCGGUAAGAAAGUUUAUCUGACUGAGUGGCGGACGGGUGAGUAACGCGUGGGCAACCUGCCUUACACAGGGGAACAACAGCCGGAAACGGCUGCUAAUACCGCAUAAGCGCACAGUUUCGCAUGGGACAGUGUGAAAAACUCCGGUGGUGUAAGAUGGGCCCGCGUCUGAUUAGCUUGUUGGCGGGGUAACGGCCCACCAAGGCAACGAUCAGUAGCCGACCUGAGAGGGUGACCGGCCACAUUGGGACUGAGACACGGCCCAAACUCCUACGGGAGGCAGCAGUGGGGAAUAUUGCACAAUGGGGGAAACCCUGAUGCAGCGACGCCGCGUGAGCGAAGAAGUAUCUCGGUAUGUAAAGCUCUAUCAGCAGGGAAGAAAAUGACGGUACCUGACUAAGAAGCUCCGGCUAAAUACGUGCCAGCAGCCGCGGUAAUACGUAUGGAGCAAGCGUUAUCCGGAUUUACUGGGUGUAAAGGGAGCGUAGGCGGUAAGGCAAGUCUGAUGUGAAAGGCCGGGGCUCAACCCUGGGACUGCAUUGGAAACUGUUUAACUGGAGUGUCGGAGAGGCAAGUGGAAUUCCUAGUGUAGCGGUGAAAUGCGUAGAUAUUAGGAGGAACACCAGUGGCGAAGGCGGCUUGCUGGACGAUGACU